AAUGGGGGCAACCCUGAUCCAGCCAUGCCGCGUGAGUGAAGAAGGCCUUAGGGUCGUAAAGCUCUUUCGCCUGUGAUGAUAAUGACAGUAGCAGGUAAAGAAACCCCGGCUAACUCCGUGCCAGCAGCCGCGGUAAUACGGAGGGGGUUAGCGUUGUUCGGAAUUACUGGGCGUAAAGCGCGCGUAGGCGGAUUGGAAAGUUAGAGGUGAAAUCCCGGGGCUCAACCCCGGAACUGCCUUUAAAACUCCCAGUCUUGAGUUCGAGAGAGGUGAGUGGAAUUCCAAGUGUAGAGGUGAAAUUCGUAGAUAUUUGGAGGAACACCAGUGGCGAAGGCGGCUCACUGGCUCGAUACUGACGCUGAGGUGCGAAAGUGUGGGGAGCAAACAGGAUU
RNAcentral lists this ribosomal RNA (392 nucleotides) under uncultured Gammaproteobacteria bacterium. RNAcentral describes it as "bacterial SSU rRNA". It matches the Rfam family "Bacterial small subunit ribosomal RNA", at positions 370 to 779 of the family's 1533-position model. The record is from RNAcentral. Lineage: Bacteria; Pseudomonadati; Pseudomonadota; Gammaproteobacteria.